ACGAACGCUGGCGGCGUGCCUAAUACCUGCAAGUAGAACGCUGAAGAGAGGAGCUUGCUCUUCUUGGAUGAGUUGCGAACGGGUGAGUAACGCGUAGGUAACCUGCCUUGUAGCGGGGGAUAACUAUUGGAAACGAUAGCUAAUACCGCAUAACAAUGGAUGACACAUGUCAUUUAUUUGAAAGGGGCAAUUGCUCCACUACAAGAUGGACCUGCGUUGUAUUAGCUAGUAGGUGAGGUAAUGGCUCACCUAGGCGACGAUACAUAGCCGACCUGAGAGGGGGAUAGGCCACACUGGGACUGAGACACGGCCCAGACUCCUACGGGAGGCAGCAGUAGGGAAUCUUCGGCAAUGGGGGCAACCCUGACCGAGCAACGCCGCGUGAGUGAAGAAGGUUUUCGGAUCGUAAAGCUCUGUUGUAAGUCAAGAACGGGUGUGAGAGUGGAAAGUUCACACUGUGACGGUAGCUUACCAGAAAGGGACGGCUAACUACGUG
This 496-nucleotide ribosomal RNA is filed under the name uncultured bacterium. RNAcentral describes it as "partial 16S ribosomal RNA". It matches the Rfam family "Bacterial small subunit ribosomal RNA", at positions 29 to 507 of the family's 1533-position model. The record is from RNAcentral.